RNAcentral lists this non-coding RNA (23 nucleotides) under Cricetulus griseus (Chinese hamster). Lineage: Eukaryota; Metazoa; Chordata; Mammalia; Rodentia; Cricetidae. The record is from RNAcentral.
AGUAAAAACCCUGAGACAGUAUG